This 2549-nucleotide long non-coding RNA is filed under the name Homo sapiens (human). RNAcentral describes it as "non-protein coding lnc-CLRN1-1:1". The record is from RNAcentral. Lineage: Eukaryota; Metazoa; Chordata; Mammalia; Primates; Hominidae.
AGGAGAUACUUGAAGGCAGUUUGAAAGACUUGUUUUACAGAUUCUUAGUCCAAAGAUUUCCAAUUAGGGAGAAGAAGCAGCAGAAAAGGAGAAAAGCCAAGUAUGAGUGAUGAUGAGGCCUUCAUCUACUGACAUUUAACCUGGCGAGAACCGUCGAUGGUGAAGUUGCCUUUUCAGCUGGGAGCUGUCCGUUCAGCUUCCGUAAUAAAUGCAGUCAAAGAGGCAGUCCCUUCCCAUUGCUCACAAAGGUCUUGUUUUUGAACCUCGCCCUCACAGAAGCCGUUUCUCAUCAUGCCAAGCCAACAGAAGAAAAUCAUUUUUUGCAUGGCCGGAGUGUUCAGUUUUGCAUGUGCCCUCGGAGUUGUGACAGCCUUGGGGACACCGUUGUGGAUCAAAGCCACUGUCCUCUGCAAAACGGGAGCUCUGCUCGUCAAUGCCUCAGGGCAGGAGCUGGACAAGUUUAUGGGUGAAAUGCAGUACGGGCUUUUCCACGGAGAGGGUGUGAGGCAGUGUGGGUUGGGAGCAAGGCCCUUUCGGUUCUCAUAUAAAGGAAAUGUAGUACAACUAAACAUCAGCAGUCAAAUGACCUGGCCAUGACUCCUGAGUGAGGACACUGGUAAACACCAUCAGGAUCCAAACACCUCUGUAUUUACGAAGAGGAUGCUCCCUAUUGGAUAGCACUAAGCUUAUUUCAUUUUUUCCAGAUUUGCUCAAAGCAAUCCCAGUGAGCAUCCACGUCAAUGUCAUUCUCUUCUCUGCCAUCCUUAUUGUGUUAACCAUGGUGGGGACAGCCUUCUUCAUGUACAAUGCUUUUGGAAAACCUUUUGAAACUCUGCAUGGUCCCCUAGGGCUGUACCUUUUGAGCUUCAUUUCAGUUGCCCUUUGGCUGCCAGCUACCAGGCACCAGGCUCAAGGCUCCUGUGGCUGUCUUGUCAUGAUAUUGUUUGCCUCUGAAGUGAAAAUCCAUCACCUCUCAGAAAAAAUUGCAAAUUAUAAAGAAGGGACUUAUGUCUACAAAACGCAAAGUGAAAAAUAUACCACCUCAUUCUGGGUCAUUUUCUUUUGCUUUUUUGUUCAUUUUCUGAAUGGGCUCCUAAUACGACUUGCUGGAUUUCAGUUCCCUUUUGCAAAAUCUAAAGACGCAGAAACAACUAAUGUAGCUGCAGAUCUAAUGUACUGAAAGGCAAACCUUUCUAUAAUUUUACAAGGGAGUAGACUUGCUUUGGUCACUUUUAGAUGUGGUUAAUUUUGCAUAUCCUUUUAGUCUGCAUAUAUUAAAGCAUCAGGACCCUUCGUGACAAUGUUUACAAAUUACGUACUAAGGAUACAGGCUGGAAAGUAAGGGAAGCAGAAGGAAGGCUUUGAAAAGUUGUUUUAUCUGGUGGGAAAUUGCUUGACCCAGGUAGUCAAAGGCAGUUGACUAGAAUCGACAAAUUGUUACUCCAUAUAUAUAUAUGUGUGUGUGUGUGUGUGUGUGUGUGUGUAAGAUGUCUUCCUAUCAAAAAGAUAUCAAAGGCACAUGGAAUAUAUUUUAAUAAAAACAAAUAAUAUCUCUAAUAUAUCCACACAUUUGUUGCCAGAUUUCAGAAAACUGAGCUGCAAUCGCUUUCCUAAAACAGUAGUGUAUUAAAUGAACAUCUAUAAAAUGUAUCAACACACAUUUUAAAAAAUUUGUUUAAAGUAUACUCUUAGGCCAGGCGUGGUGACUCACACCUGUAAUUCCAGCACUUCAGGAGGCCAAGGUGGGAAGAUCAUUUGAGUUCAGGAGUUCGAGUUACAGCCUGGGCAAUAAAGUGAGACCCUGUCACUAACAAAAUUAAAAAAUAAAAUAAAUAUAAAAUAUAGGCUUUAAAAAAGCAUAGUCUUAUUAACCAUGUCUGUUGGUCAAAAUCUGCAAACUCUAAAAGAAGAAAAGAAGAAAAAACCAAGCUUAGGGUAUUUUUCCUCCCGUGCCUGAGUCCCAAUUACAUUCACGACAGUACUUUCAAUGAACAUAAUUGUUAGGACCACUGAGGAAUCAUGAAAAAUGAUCUCUGCUUAGUACAUUUGAUGCAAAAUGACUUAUUAGGGGCUGUUUUUCUAGCUAUAGUGUCUCGAGUACUAAUAUGCAAUUAUGAAAAUUAUAUUAAAUCUGGGAUUAUGACGGUAUCACUGUAUCAUCUUGGUCUUGUUCUGGCUGUCACCAAGCAUGACCCAGGUCAACUUUUUUUUUCCCCUGAAUUACCCAUCAAAUUGAUCUGCAGCUGACUAAAGGCCACAGCUGAGCCUGGAACUGACCCUUCCUUCAUCCUCAACCUGCUGUCCUCCAGAAAGCACCAAGGAAAAAGCAGAGAAUGACAGCAAACAGAUCACUAGGCCUCUGACCACAGGUGCUGAGUACUCAGCAGCCCUCAUAUAAUAGGUUUGAAAGUACUCCUUAAAAUAAAACACUGUUUCCCUUUGGAACUAUUUACAAGGAUGAAACAACCGUAUACCUGAGAAAUAACUUGCUCUGGUGUCAAUUCGCUAUUCGCCAGCAGACAUCAGAACACACCGAGUUUCCAGAUGCU